This 502-nucleotide ribosomal RNA is filed under the name uncultured bacterium. RNAcentral describes it as "partial 16S ribosomal RNA". It matches the Rfam family "Bacterial small subunit ribosomal RNA", at positions 28 to 507 of the family's 1533-position model. The record is from RNAcentral.
GACGAACGCUGGCGGCGUGCCUAAUACAUGCAAGUCGAACGAACCGCGACUAGGUGCUUGCACUUGGUCAAGGUGAGUGGCGAACGGGUGAGUAACACGUGGGUAACCUACCUCAUAGUGGGGGAUAACAGUCGGAAACGACUGCUAAUACCGCAUAGGACAUAGGAUCACAUGAUCCAGUGAGGAAAGGUGGCGCAAGCUAUCGCUAAGAGAUGGACCCGCGGUGCAUUAGCUAGUUGGUAGGGUAAAGGCCUACCAAGGCGAUGAUGCAUAGCCGACCUGAGAGGGUGAUCGGCCACAUUGGGACUGAGACACGGCCCAAACUCCUACGGGAGGCAGCAGUAGGGAAUCUUCCGCAAUGGACGCAAGUCUGACGGAGCAACGCCGCGUGAGGGAAGAAGGUCUUCGGAUCGUAAAGCUCUGUUGUUAGAGAAGAACAGCGCAUAGAGUAACUGUUAUGCGUGUGACGGUAUCUAACCAGAAAGCCACGGCUAACUACGUG